CUAAGGAGACUGCCGGUGUCAAACCGGAGGAAGGUGGGGAUGACGUCAAGUCAUCAUGGCCCUACGGUUUGGGCUACACACGUGCUACAAUGGCGGUGACAGUGGGCAGCCACUCAGUAAUGAGGAGCUAAUCCCAAAAAGACCGUCUCAGUUCGGAUUGAGCUCUGCAACUCGAGCUCAUGAAGUCGGAAUCGCUAGUAAUCGCGGAUCAGCACGCCGCGGUGAAUACGUUCCCGGGCCUU
Molecule: ribosomal RNA, 242 nt
Filed under: uncultured Pedomicrobium sp.
Lineage: Bacteria; Pseudomonadati; Pseudomonadota; Alphaproteobacteria; Hyphomicrobiales; Hyphomicrobiaceae
Description: partial 16S ribosomal RNA
Rfam family: Bacterial small subunit ribosomal RNA
Source: RNAcentral